Molecule: ribosomal RNA, 513 nt
Filed under: uncultured bacterium
Lineage: Bacteria
Description: partial 16S ribosomal RNA
Rfam family: Bacterial small subunit ribosomal RNA
Source: RNAcentral
GACGAACGCUGGCGGCGUGCUUAACACAUGCAAGUCGAACGAGAGCGUAGAGAAAGCUUGCUUUUUCUACAAUCUAGUGGCAAACGGGUGAGUAACGCGUAAACAACCUGCCCUACGGAUGGGGACAACAGCUGGAAACGGCUGCUAAUACCGAAUACGUUCCGAAAGUCGCAUGACUAUCGGAAGAAAGGAUGGCCUCUAUUUAUAAGCUAUCGCCGGAGGAGGGGUUUGCGUCUGAUUAGCUAGUUGGAGGGGUAACGGCCCAACAAGGCGACGAUCAGUAGCCGGUCUGAGAGGAUGAACGGCCACAUUGGAACUGAGACACGGUCCAGACUCCUACGGGAGGCAGCAGUGGGGAAUCUUCCGCAAUGGGCGAAAGCCUGACGGAGCAACGCCGCGUGAGUGAAGACGGCCUUCGGGUUGUAAAGCUCUGUUAUACGGGACGAAUAAUCUUGUGGUUAAUACCCAUGAGAAGUGACGGUACCGUAAGAGAAAGCCACGGCUAACUACGUG